UACACUCCUACGGGAGGCAGCAGUGGGGAAUAUCGCACAAUGGGCGCAAGCCUGAUGCAGCCAUGCCGCGUGUAUGAAGAAGGCCUUCGGGUUGUAAAGUACUUUCAGCGGGGAGGAAGGCGAUAAGGUUAAUAACCUUGUCGAUUGACGUUACCCGCAGAAGAAGCACCGGCUAACUCCGUGCCAGCAGCCGCGGUAAUACGGAGGGUGCAAGCGUUAAUCGGAAUUACUGGGCGUAAAGCGCACGCAGGCGGUCUGUCAAGUCGGAUGUGAAAUCCCCGGGCUCAACCUGGGAACUGCAUUCGAAACUGGCAGGCUAGAGUCUUGUAGAGGGGGGUAGAAUUCCAGGUGUAGCGGUGAAAUGCGUAGAGAUCUGGAGGAAUACCGGUGGCGAAGGCGGCCCCCUGGACAAAGACUGACGCUCAGGUGCGAAAGCGUGGGGAGCAAACAGGAUUAGAAACCCCUGUAGUCC
RNAcentral lists this ribosomal RNA (472 nucleotides) under uncultured organism. RNAcentral's name for it is "partial 16S ribosomal RNA". It matches the Rfam family "Bacterial small subunit ribosomal RNA", at positions 332 to 796 of the family's 1533-position model. The record is from RNAcentral.